This is a long non-coding RNA of Clupea harengus (Atlantic herring), 1169 nucleotides long. The record is from Ensembl. NCBI's taxonomy places the organism in Eukaryota, Metazoa, Chordata, Actinopteri, Clupeiformes, Clupeidae.
UUCAGAGAUAGCAUCAUCUUCAGAAAUGAAACACUAUUGCCUUUUUCCCAACUGAAUACAUUUAUUAAAAAUUGACCCAGAGCAUAAUCAUCAUAAGAUUCAUGUGUUGUUUAAUUAAUAUACAAACAAGAGAAGUUUUAUAAACAUGUGUGUUUGUCAGUCAGUGCACCAAUCCCACAUCCCUUAGGCUUGAGGUCCUGUGCCCGUAAUUCCAAACUCAACUGGGUCAACAUCCUGACCUCGCCGGUAUGUGAGAAGCACAGAUGUGUAUAAAAUACAGAGUACCUCUGCCUAAUCCACUGAAUCAUCAUUUCAUCUAAAGUAUUAACAUAUAAUCAAAUUAACAUGUAAAUUGCACUUGUAUGAUUUAUUGCGUAUUCACACAUUCAUAUGUUCGGGUGGUGAAAAUGAGAAAUCAUGGCAAAUCAUUACACAACAAAGUUCGCAUUGAUCAAGGAGCUUUCAAAUAACAUGAUAACAAACUGUUACACUGCAUUUUCAGAAUAGAAACAAAAACUACUGAAGAACAAUUGAAUACAGUGGCUCUGGUUUCUUUUUCUUUCUUUUCUUCGACACUGUGGCAUAAGGUCUUGCGGCUCCUUCAUCAGGGGCUCCGUCUGGAAAUCCACAAAACAAACACGUUUGCACAGAGGGUGAAGGAGUUUGCAAAUCAGGAUUAAAUAAUUAAUAAUGAAUGACAAUAAUUAAUAAUCCAAUGAAUCUCAUAUUAAUUUGUAUUUUGCCUCUUAAUUAGACUUAAGUUGGGAUGUAAAGGGUCUGUGGUUAAGUGUCCUGCCAUCUGGAAUACUGUGUCCUAGGGAUAGCAGGAGGUGUGAUGGCAUAGGCGUCUUUCACCUCUUAUCUCAGGUCAUAUCAGAGUGUCAUUUUAUUCCUUUUACCCCCAUCCCCAUGAUACAGGCCUCUAAAACAUUUUCUCACAUGUAUUUAAACUUGGACUGUUUCAGUGUCUAACCACAGGCCAGGUGAAUCUUCUGAGCAAAACCUUCAACUCUUCCUUGAGGUGCAUCAUUGCAAGAAUAAAGUCUGUUUCCUGAUUGAUCAUUCUCCAUCUGAGUCUCAACCUAUCCGUGGUAUUAGGAAAAACUACCAACAAGGGCAAGUGUGUUAUAAGUUAUCUAGCAUGCACGCAUGUCAAACAAGUAUUGGCC